Ciona intestinalis (vase tunicate) is the source of this 290-nucleotide non-coding RNA. Lineage: Eukaryota; Metazoa; Chordata; Ascidiacea; Phlebobranchia; Cionidae. The record is from RefSeq and is a predicted model, not a curated record.
AAACGUUAUUGCAAACUCCAUUGAAGAGACUGUUGUCCAACACCUCAGAAGAUCGUGCAAGAGUUGUAAUAUCAAACCUACAAUAUCUGCAUACUUGACGAUCAAUAAAGAAAUUUAAGGAAAUGACCUUUCUCCUCAAAAAACAAUGCUUAAUCUACUGUUAACCAAGAUUUUCCAAGAUGGCUCUUUACAUGGAAUGGAAUCUUCUUCGGCUCCAUCACAUGAUUUUCCACCGAAGAGCGAAGGUUGUUUGACGGUUCGGUGACGCAGCUGGUGGUGGAUUUAAAUAU